Molecule: long non-coding RNA, 997 nt
Organism: Cylas formicarius (sweet potato weevil)
Lineage: Eukaryota; Metazoa; Arthropoda; Insecta; Coleoptera; Brentidae
Exons: 3
Source: RefSeq, a predicted model, not a curated record
AUUAAAAGUCGAAAGGUCUUCUACCCACAAGCACCAAUGCCGAUUUGAAUAGACGCGAUGUUGUCGCCAGACAACCGUGCAGGUAGGAGUCUCAGGGUCAACACGCUUUCACACGGGAACGACUUGAGACGCAACCGCUUCGGACGUUGGACGAACGUAUGUUGCCGCAAAAGAUCAAGGCCAACUUGCUUUCAUUUUUUACAAUCUCCGUAUGGGAUGUGGAAUUUCAAAACGCGCCGAGUCUAAAUGUCAAGUUGUUUUGCUUGUUGAGAAUAAUAAUUAAUUGCCCGUUUAUAUUUGCUCCGUGGGAUUAACGUAAUGGGAAAAAUUUGUUGCAACGCAUGUGGAGGUGUCUUUGUUUGUUAACUUUUAGAAAGUAUUCUCGCACCGUAUAAAUACAUCUCAUUUUUCUCUGUUUUGUCAGUAGUUGUUUUUGGUAUUAUUCGUGCAACGUGGAAGCUAACUUAGUGGUUUGGUGUUCGUACAAAAAAGCAGUCUUAAAGAUCAUCUUAGUACUCUCAACCCGUAACCGCAAAUAGAAUAGCAGCAAUCUUAAGCAUGGACUUAAGUCAACUGAAUCAAACCUGUCUUGCAGAAGGUGAUUUUGAGCAGCCGAUUGUCAAACUGCAUGAAUUGCCGAUAGGCGUUCCGUUUAAAAUUACUAGAGCCAAAAUUGUUAAUACAAAAUUUGGCAAUUCCGUGUUGCUGCAAUUAGAAAAUUCCGUAGUAUUUCUUCCUACUCGCGUGACAGAAGCUUUCCGUCCGAGACUAGAACACUUUGCGUCGGGGCAGUACAAACUGGUCUACGAGGGAUCCAAAGAUAUUGGAAAGCCCAACUCUUUAAAGAAAUUCAAAAUAAUUCAAAAUUAAUCAACAUAUUAUACAGGGUAAGUCUUAUUUACUGUUAUAUAUUUAAUAAACCACGAUGCGCGUAAAGCAGAUCAUUCAUAGAGCGCAAAUCUUAAUUUUAACCUUACAAAAAUUAAAAAAGCAUAUU